GUGGCUCGACUCACUCCAACCCCUGUGACAUACCACUUGUUGCCUCGGCGGAUCAGCCCGCUCCCGGUAAAACGGGACGGCCCGCCAGAGGACCCCUAAACUCUGUUUCUAUAUGUAACUUCUGAGUAAAACCAUAAAUAAAUCAAAACUUUCAACAACGGAUCUCUUGGUUCUGGCAUCGAUGAAGAACGCAGCAAAAUGCGAUAAGUAAUGUGAAUUGCAGAAUUCAGUGAAUCAUCGAAUCUUUGAACGCACAUUGCGCCCGCCAGUAUUCUGGCGGGCAUGCCUGUUCGAGCGUCAUUUCAACCCUCAAGCACAGCUUGGUGUUGGGACUCGCGUUAAUUCGCGUUCCUCAAAUUGAUUGGCGGUCACGUCGAGCUUCCAUAGCGUAGUAGUAAAACCCUCGUUACUGGUAAUCGUCGCGGCCACGCCGUUAAACCCCAACUUCUGAAUGUUGACCUCGGAUCAGGUAGGAAUACCCGCUGAACUUAAGCAUAUCAAAGCCGGGGGAGAAAG
RNAcentral lists this ribosomal RNA (516 nucleotides) under Fusarium oxysporum. Its description in RNAcentral is "eukaryotic LSU rRNA". The stretch from base 147 to 300 matches the Rfam family "5.8S ribosomal RNA". Lineage: Eukaryota; Fungi; Ascomycota; Sordariomycetes; Hypocreales; Nectriaceae. The record is from RNAcentral.